Molecule: ribosomal RNA, 451 nt
Filed under: uncultured bacterium
Lineage: Bacteria
Description: bacterial SSU rRNA
Rfam family: Bacterial small subunit ribosomal RNA
Source: RNAcentral
GGACCCGCACAAGCGGUGGAGCAUGUGGUUUAAUUCGACGCUAAGCGAAGAACCUUACCCGGGUUUGAAAUGCAGCUGCAUAUUCUAGAGAUAGAAUAGCCUUCGAGGGUGCUGCACAGGUGCUGCAUGGUUGUCGUCAGCUCGUGUCGUGAGAUGUUGGGUUAAGUCCCGCAACGAGCGCAACCCUCAUUCUGUGUUGUAUUUUUCACAGAAGACUGCCCUGGUUAACAGGGAGGAAGGUGGGGAUGACGUCAAAUCAGCAUGGCCCUUAUGUCCGGGGCUACACACGUGCUACAAUGGGAAGUACAAUGGGUUGCCAAACCGCAAGGUGGAGCUAAUCCCAUCAAAGCUUCUCUUAGUUCGGAUUGUCGGCUGAAACUCGCCGGCAUGAAGCUGGAAUCGCUAGUAACCGCGUAUCAGCCAUGGCGCGGUGAAUACGUUCUCGGGUCUU